Molecule: non-coding RNA, 109 nt
Organism: Chelonoidis abingdonii (Abingdon island giant tortoise)
Lineage: Eukaryota; Metazoa; Chordata; Testudines; Testudinidae
Source: RefSeq, a predicted model, not a curated record
CCGCGGCUUUGACAAGCCUGACCGUAAAAACUGCUAAGGAAGGGGAUUCCACCACCUCCCUAGGGAUCCCAUUCAAAUGCUUCACCAGCCUCCUAGUGAAAUAGUGUUU